CUGUUUUCCAUAGCAACUUCCCUUCCUCUCCAAACUCCAGCAAAGAGCUCUGCUAGGGCACAUCAUCCACACGUCUCCAAGCUACCAAAACUCUUUUCUUGUUACAGCCCUACUCGAGUUCCUGGAGCUGUGCUAUCCCUUGGUUAAGGACUUUUGCUUUCUGUACCCAAAACAAGAGAUGUGAAUGCUUCUGGAGGUAGGCUUGAUGGUGGUCGUAGCGGUGCAGCCUAGUGGGCCAGUUGUUAUGGUUUUCGCAGAAGUCCUAUGGCCCUAGUGCCUUGUAAUUCCAUGCUCAUAGAGCAUCUCUUUUGCACAACUGUUGAACCUUUAGAAUUGCGUUUUGUUUAUGGCAUGGAUGUAUGCCUAAAU
Long non-coding RNA from Vigna unguiculata (cowpea), 369 nucleotides. NCBI's taxonomy places the organism in Eukaryota, Viridiplantae, Streptophyta, Magnoliopsida, Fabales, Fabaceae. The record is from RefSeq and is a predicted model, not a curated record.